AGGAAACAAUAUGAGAGGCUAAUACUGAGAGGACUCAGCCCCCUGCUGAACAAGGAGGAGCAGGAGACAAAGAUUUUUGUGAGGUCUGGGGUUUGAGUGGCUCUGGUAAGGUAGCCUUCCCCAUUCAUUCAUUCAUUCAUUCAAGAUUGAGGACUUGACAUGCACCAGAACAAUUUUGGGUCCUGAGGAUAUGAGAUCAGCCAGACACAGCCCUGAUGGAUCUGGGAGACCCAUUCAUGGAAGCAAGAAAGGAAAUCAGAGAACAAGGCCAGUUUGAACAGGCAGAUAAUGCAAGUUCUGAAGUUCUGAAUGAAAAAAAUUAAGUGAUAUUUACUAUUCUACAGCGACUUGUUGAGGUGCUAAGGAAAGCCAUGCGAUGCCACGCCUGGCAACAAACCCACACUGCUUCAACUUCCUGUGAAGAAAGCCCUACCAUGAUCCCCACCCACAUUAUUUAUUUUGAUGACCCAAACAAAUAAGAAAAUGUAGCCAGGAGUGUUUCCUUCCAUAAUUCAAGUAGUACUGGGUUUUAAUACAAAGGAAAGCAAGAUGCUGGGCAAGUUGGUGUGGUUAAAGACCCUGCACAGGAGUUCUCUUGUGGAAAGUAGCAGAAAACCCACUAAUGUUCAGGAGCUCUGGGAUCUAGUCUUGAUUCCGCCAUACAGCAACUUGCUGUGUUACUAUAUGAGCAUUUCAGAUAAUUUCUCUACGUCUUUAUUUUCCCAUUGUCUCAGUUAAUAUCUUGGUUGCAAGAAACAGGUACCAAAUCAAGUUGGUUUAAUCUAGAUACAGAUAAAUAGAAGGAUAGAUAGCUAAUAGUUCUCAACUGGGGGGUGGUUUUAUCACCCCCCCCAUCCACCCCAAGUGGACAUUUUGCUAUGUCUAGAGGUAUUUUUGGUUGUCAUAACUGGGAGGAUUGAUGCUGUCAUCAACUGGGUAAAGUCCAGGGACUACCCUACAAUGCAUAGGAUGGCCCCCAACAAUAAAGAAUUAUCUGGAUCAAAAUAGUGAUGAGAUUGGGAAUCCCUGAUAUCUCUCUCUCUUUCUCUCUCUCUCUCUUUGUAUAUAUACUAUGUAUAUAAUAUUUAUGUGUGUGUAAUUUUUAAAGCAUAGUAUAUUAUUUCACAAAAUCUAGGGAAAUUUGGGGGGUUGGAAAUCAUGGCUCAGGAAGAGUAGAAAUCAAGCACAUUUUGCAGGUUUUGAGUUCUCAACAGAGUUCAAAGGCCUUCCUCUUAGUGCCCUCUGAUUUCCAGGACUCACUUACAAAUGCCCAUUCUCUGUGAACCUCAGACUGAGGAGAAAUGAAAUAGACACAGCUUGAGUCAGCUGUUCAUUCUGCUCUAGUUGGCUAUGUCCAAGGGGGAAUGUUCAAGCCAAAGUUCAAGCCAGUGACCAUCCUUGGAGACUGGGUCAGGAGCCCUUAGAAAGGUGGAGUUGGGAAAACAGCCCUAAGGAGGCCUAUUACAUUUAUCUAUGAGAUAACAAUAAUGCCACUGCUCUUCUGGAGACCUACUAUCAAAUAAAAGGUUGUGGGCCCCAGGGGAACUUGGAAACAGAAAUGGCAGGUGUCUCCUUUAAAUGGCAUUCAUAAUAUUUCUCUUUUUUUUCUAUCUUGAAGAACAGAUUUCAUUUUUUACACUUCUAUAAAACAAAUGGAACCAUGACUUAUGUUCCACAAUUUCCAUAGCUGAUUUCAUGAACUUUAACAAGUUUUCCUUAUUUAUAGCAGUCCCAAGCUUUAUUCCCUUAGAGAUGUCAGGACGUGGAGGGUAAUUUUGCUGCCUGCCCUCUAUGCUUUAAAGACCAAGUGAAUUGAAAGAACAGUAAAUCCCUGCCCCAACACAAUAAGUGAGGUCCAGAAGAAUUUUACGUGGGGUCUAAAAUUCAAUCAACUAUUCGUGGUCGCGUUAUUUUGAAGCUAAUGAAAUGGAUGCCAGGAACCUGCACAGCUUGCCAGUUGGUAGCGCCAACGGAAGCCCAUGCCAAACUUGGCUGAGUUUGCCGCCAUCUAGUGGCCACUCCCAGCGUCAGUUUACACCUCGCAAUGAACAGGAAGCAGGCCUGUGGCUGGCCAGGACCAGCCUUCAGCAGGCCAUUCUAGGAUUUUCCCGGUUAGCUGUCGCUCUUGGAUUGGUCCAGACCAGGAAGACUAAUUAUUACAGGAUUACUUAAUGAGGAGAUUUUCUGUACUUGGAAACAUAAAGCAAUGGUUUUAACCUUUGUGAGAUUACAGGCCCCUUUGAGAAUCUGCCUAUAUGCAUAUAAUUUUUCACACAAUUUCUAGAGGGUUUUGGGCUUACUGAAGCUAAUCCAUGGACACAAAGGGAAAGACACUGAAUAUAAACCUGAUACAGAUGUUAGCUGGGUGUAAUUGUAAGCCAUUCUGAAGUCGUUUGGAACAGAAAGGGAAAAUGGCAAUGGCAGGUGUGCGAAUAGGAGGAAAUCUACUGCUAACUGGAGGAUAGUAAGAGUCUUAACUGUCCUCUAAAAUGUGCCAAAUGCCCGUGGCUCUUUAGUUGUAUUUAUACAUGCUAUGUAUCUCCACCUUAGCUUUCCACCCUUAAAAUUGGUUCCUUGUUUUACAUGCCUGAGUUUUUCCUGGCCCUUCCUAUUCUCCUCUGGUUUCUAUCCAAAGUCUCUAGUGGACCAACAAUAGGUUUGGGUUGGGAGUCAGAAUACUGCCUGGGAUUAGGCCAGCACCCCCCAUUGGCUGGGUGAGUGAGCAAGUCCUGCACCCUCCCUGGGCUCAGCGUGAGGAUGAGCAUCCUUUAACCCCUCUUAGGAUGGAAUGAGACACUGUGUACAAGUGAAAGACAUUGAAAGAGUCAGAAAUGGUAGACAAUUUUUGGAGUCUGCAAUGUUAUUCCAAAAACAAGUCCUUCUAGGAUACUCCACAGCCUCAGGGUGACUGCUCUGAUCGACAAAGCUAUCGACACU
RNAcentral lists this long non-coding RNA (2937 nucleotides) under Homo sapiens (human). RNAcentral describes it as "HSALNT0033342". The record is from RNAcentral. Lineage: Eukaryota; Metazoa; Chordata; Mammalia; Primates; Hominidae.